This 253-nucleotide ribosomal RNA is filed under the name uncultured bacterium. Its description in RNAcentral is "partial 16S ribosomal RNA". It matches the Rfam family "Bacterial small subunit ribosomal RNA", at positions 524 to 776 of the family's 1533-position model. The record is from RNAcentral.
UACGGAGGAGGCAAGCGUUAUCCGGAAUUAUUGGGCGUAAAGCGUCCGUAGGUGGUUUAGUAAGUCUGCUGUUAAAGCGCGGGGCUUAACUCCGUAUCGGCAGUGGAAACUACUAGACUAGAGUGUGGUAGGGGUAGAGGGAAUUCCCAGUGUAGCGGUGAAAUGCGUAGAUAUUGGGAGGAACACCGGUGGCGAAGGCGGCGACCUGGGUAGAUACUGACGCUGAGGUGCGAAAGCGUGGGGAGCAAACAGG